GAUGAACGCUAGCGGCAGGCUUAACACAUGCAAGUCGAGGGGUAUUGGUUUUCGGACCAAGAGACCGGCGCACGGGUGCGUAACGCGUAUGCAAUCUACCUUUUGCAGAGGGAUAGCCCAGAGAAAUUUGGAUUAAUACCUCAUAGUAUAGUACCUUGGCAUCAGGGAACUAUUAAAGUCACAACGGCAAAAGAUGAGCAUGCGUCCCAUUAGCUAGUUGGUAAGGUAACGGCUUACCAAGGCUACGAUGGGUAGGGGUCCUGAGAGGGAGAUCCCCCACACUGGUACUGAGACACGGACCAGACUCCUACGGGAGGCAGCAGUGAGGAAUAUUGGACAAUGGGCGCAAGCCUGAUCCAGCCAUGCCGCGUGCAGGAUGACGGUCCUAUGGAUUGUAAACUGCUUUUAUACAGGAAGAAACACUGGUUCGUGAACCAGCUUGACGGUACUGUAAGAAUAAGGAUCGGCUAACUCCGUGCCAGCAGCCGCGG
Molecule: ribosomal RNA, 491 nt
Filed under: uncultured bacterium
Lineage: Bacteria
Description: bacterial SSU rRNA
Rfam family: Bacterial small subunit ribosomal RNA
Source: RNAcentral